This 465-nucleotide ribosomal RNA is filed under the name Vreelandella stevensii. RNAcentral describes it as "partial 16S ribosomal RNA". It matches the Rfam family "Bacterial small subunit ribosomal RNA", at positions 338 to 795 of the family's 1533-position model. Lineage: Bacteria; Pseudomonadati; Pseudomonadota; Gammaproteobacteria; Oceanospirillales; Halomonadaceae. The record is from RNAcentral.
CCUACGGGAGGCUGCAGUGGGGAAUAUUGGACAAUGGGGGAAACCCUGAUCCAGCCAUGCCGCGUGUGUGAAGAAGGCCCUCGGGUUGUAAAGCACUUUCAGUGAGGAAGAACGCCUGUUGGUUAAUACCCACCAGGAAAGACAUCACUCACAGAAGAAGCACCGGCUAACUCCGUGCCAGCAGCCGCGGUAAUACGGAGGGUGCGAGCGUUAAUCGGAAUUACUGGGCGUAAAGCGCGCGUAGGUGGCUUGAUAAGCCGGUUGUGAAAGCCCCGGGCUCAACCUGGGAACGGCAUCCGGAACUGUCAAGCUAGAGUGCAGGAGAGGAUGGUAGAAUUCCCGGUGUAGCGGUGAAAUGCGUAGAGAUCGGGAGGAAUACCAGUGGCGAAGGCGGCCUUCUGGACUGACACUGACACUGAGGUGCGAAAGCGUGGGUAGCAAACAGGAUUAGAUACCCCUGUAGUC